UCUGUGCCAGCAGCCGCGGUAAUACGGAGGAUCCAAGCGUUAUCCGGAAUCAUUGGGUUUAAAGGGUCCGUAGGCGGGGUAAUAAGUCAGUGGUGAAAGUCUGCAGCUCAACUGUAGAACUGCCAUUGAUACUGUUAUCCUUGAGUAAUUAUGAAGUGGUUAGAAUAUGUAGUGUAGCGGUGAAAUGCAUAGAUAUUACAUAGAAUACCGAUUGCGAAGGCAGAUCACUAAUAAUUUACUGACGCUGAGGCACGAAAGCGUGGGGAGCGAACAGGAUUAGAAACCCGUGUAGUCC
RNAcentral lists this ribosomal RNA (295 nucleotides) under Salinicola sp. MH3R3-1. RNAcentral describes it as "partial 16S ribosomal RNA". It matches the Rfam family "Bacterial small subunit ribosomal RNA", at positions 502 to 796 of the family's 1533-position model. The record is from RNAcentral. Lineage: Bacteria; Pseudomonadati; Pseudomonadota; Gammaproteobacteria; Oceanospirillales; Halomonadaceae.